Molecule: ribosomal RNA, 246 nt
Filed under: uncultured bacterium
Lineage: Bacteria
Description: partial 16S ribosomal RNA
Rfam family: Bacterial small subunit ribosomal RNA
Source: RNAcentral
AUACAUAGGGGGCAAGCGUUAUCCGGAUUUAUUGGGCGUAAAGCGUGCGUAGGCGGUUUAUUAGGUCAGGCGUAAAAGAUCACAGCUCAACUGUGUAGGGCGUUUGAAACCGGUAGACUUGAAUACGGUAGAGGCAGGUGGAAUUCCAUGUGUAGCGGUGGAAUGCGUAGAUAUAUGGAGGAACACCAAUGGCGAAGGCAGCCUGCUGGGCCGGAAUUGACGCUGAGGCACGAAAGCGUGGGGAGC